CUGCAGCCCGAGUGGUGGUCGAUAUUAUUGAGCCUAAAGCGUCCGUAGCCGGACUAGUAAAUUCUUGGGUAAAUCGGGCAGCUUAACUGUCCGACUUCCGGGGAGACUGCUAGUCUUGGGACUGGGAGAGGUCAGAGGUACUCCAGGGGUAGGGGCUAAAUCCUGUAAUCCUUGGGGGACCACCAGUGGCGAAGGCGUCUGACUAGAACGGAUCCGACGGUAAGGGACGAAACCCUGGGGCGCAAACCGGAUUAGAGACCCGAGUAGUCC
RNAcentral lists this ribosomal RNA (270 nucleotides) under uncultured archaeon. RNAcentral's name for it is "partial 16S ribosomal RNA". It matches the Rfam family "Archaeal small subunit ribosomal RNA", at positions 477 to 747 of the family's 1478-position model. The record is from RNAcentral.